GGUGUUUACUGUCGAACUGAACACUCUACCGUUUACUGUCUGGUGGUGCUCUUCACCGAGUGUCACCAGUGGUCGGUACGUUUACUUUGAAAAAAUUAGAGUGCUCAAGCGGUUUUACACGACCGAAUACUGUUGCAUGGAAUAAUGAAAUAGGACUUGGUUCUAUUUUGUGUCUCGACCAGGUAAUGAUAGAGGGACAGACGGGGGCAUAGUAUGCGACGCUAGAGGUGAAAUUCUUGGACCGUCGCAAGACUAACUAAAGCGAAAGCAUUUGCCAACAACGUUUUCAUUAAUCAAGAACGAAAGUUAGAGGUUCGAAGGCGAUCAGAUACCGCCCUAGUUCUAACCAUAAACGAUGCCAACCAGCAAUCAGCCUGUGUUCUCUUGAUGACACGGCUGGCGGCUUCCGGGAAACCAAAGUCUUUCGGUUCCAGGGGAAGUAUGGUUGCAAAGCUGAAACUUAAAGGAAUUGACGGAAGGGCACCACCAGGAGUGGAGCCUGCGGCUUAAUUUGACUCAACACGGGGAAACUCACCCGGCCCGGACACUGUGAGGAUUGACAGGUUGAAGCCCUUUCUUGAUUCAGUGGGUGGUGGUGCAUGGCCGUUCUUAGUUGGUGGAGUGAUUUGUCUGGUUAAUUCCGAUAACGAACGAGACUCUAGCCUACUAAUUAGACCGUGGCGUCCUCGUGCCGCCACGGCGCUUCCUAGAGGGACAGACGG
Molecule: ribosomal RNA, 722 nt
Filed under: uncultured eukaryote
Lineage: Eukaryota
Description: SSU rRNA
Rfam family: Eukaryotic small subunit ribosomal RNA
Source: RNAcentral